ACUGCUCAGUAACACGUGGCUAAUCUACCCUAAAGCCCGUUAUAUCGUCGGGAAACUGACGUUAACAACGGAUAAGUGAUUUUCUCUGGAAUGAUAAAUCGCUGAAAGUUCAGCGUUAGGAUGAGGCUGCGGCUGAUUAGGUAGUUGGCGGGGUAAAAGCCCACCAAGCCAGUGAUCAGUAAGGGCCUUUAGCGAGGAAGCCCUGAGAGGGAAUCUGAGACACUAUUCCCAGCCCUACGGGGUGCAGCAGUCGGGUGAAUUUUGCAAUGCGCGCAAGCGUGACAGAGCGAGCCAGAGUGUUUUUCUAUAAUUGAAAAACUUUUGCGGGAUGUAAAAAGUCCCGAGAAUAAGGACCGGGCAAGACUGGUGCCAGCCGCCGCGGUAAUCCCAGCGGUCCAAGUCGCAGCCACAAUUAUUGGGUCUAAAACAUCCGUAGCUUGUCUUGUAAGUCUCUUGUGAAAUCUGGCCUCUUAAGGGUCGGUCGUGCAAGAGAUACUAUUAGACUAGAGACCGGGAGGCGUAACGAGUACGUAAAGGGUAGCGGUAAAAUGCGUUGAUCCUUUUCGGACUAACAAUCGCGAAGGCACGUUACGAGAACGGAUCUGACAGUGAGGGAUGAAGGCUAGGGGCGCAAAGUGGAUUAGAUACCCAUGUAGUCCUAGCAGUAAACCCUGCACACUAAACAUUGGGGCCUCCUCGAGAGGUUUCAGUGCUGUAGCGAAGGCGAAGAGUGUGCUACCUGGGAAGUAUAGCCGCAAGGCCGAAACUUAAAGGAAUUGGCGGGGGGAA
Molecule: ribosomal RNA, 789 nt
Filed under: uncultured archaeon
Lineage: Archaea
Description: bacterial SSU rRNA
Rfam family: Archaeal small subunit ribosomal RNA
Source: RNAcentral